Molecule: long non-coding RNA, 2445 nt
Organism: Pan troglodytes (chimpanzee)
Lineage: Eukaryota; Metazoa; Chordata; Mammalia; Primates; Hominidae
Exons: 4
Source: RefSeq, a predicted model, not a curated record
GCGGGCCGGAAGUACUCGAGUAGGGAGUCUGGCCUAGUGAAAAUCUCUGUUUCCUCCUUUUCUUACUUUUCACCCAAUAAAACCCUGCUUUACACACCCUUCAAACCAUCUGUGAGCCUGAAUUUUUACGGCCAUGGGACAGACAAGGAUCCUGUCUUUAUCUAAACUAAGGAAAAGUCCUGCAACAUUUGUGGUGCACAACGUGGGGCUCGAGAAGUGGCCUCUGUCUCAGAAGACAAUACACAACCUGGUCACUUAGGAGCCACUCUGCCUCCAGUCCUGAUCAAAGACUUACAAGGGAUAAGUUGCCAUAUAAUCUAGCCAGAUAUGUGCUGGGCCUACAAAGGGAGAAAAAGGACAACAUGCUGAAGGAACUACAGGACUUAGCUAACAGGAAAAUGCCUAUUUUGGAGUGAAACCAGGGCUGCCUUAUGAGCUAAACAGAGUGUGUUACAGCUUCAAUAGACUAAACAAGCUCUAAAUUUAUCUUCCUAUGGUCACGGGAUCUCAUAUAUUCUGGCUGUCAUUGUCAUAAUAAGCCACUCUUGGUCAUAUGGAAAAGCAUUCAGCUGCUCCCUGCCUUUGCUCACAGCGUGUGGUACUCUCUUAGAAGCUAUUCCUGGUGAGUAUCUGGCUUGCGACUCCCUGAAGCUCUCUCAAUGCAAUUCUGUACUAAUCUCCUCUGUGCUAGCGAAAAAGAAUAUAUAGGGCUGACCACACUUUUAAUCCUUAUUGUGACAUCUGAUUUAAUAUGUCUAUAUGGAAUUAUGAAAAAAGUAUUUGAAAUAUUUGAGUUACUCAUGUUGAGAAAGGAUAGAAUAAUGACUCUUAGGAUAUAUAUGGAAGAAAUGUAGAGAAUUCACACUUUUAGUGGGAUGUAAUUUUAGAAUAGAAUUGUAGAGAGAAAUACUACAACUGUUGAUAUGUAUUUAGAGCAAAUUUUAGAAAAUUUAAAAUGUGACUUAAUUUAAUUUCAUAUAACAAAUCCCAAAUGGGUUUCCUAAAGGUUUUUUUUUUCUUUUGCCACAAAUGGAUUUCCCUUUAGAGUUAUGUCAAUGGGAAUUUUUUUUUCAAUGAGUCAAGUAGCAACAAUAACGUGCUAACAUUUUUUCCUAAAUGUCUUCCUAAAUAUCUUAAUUUUUUUAUGUUGUAGCUGCUGAAAUAUCUGUCAUCAAAGGGACAAUAAUUCAAAUAAGCACAAAGCUUAAACACACAUUUUACAUAUUAUUGGAUUCUUGGUUUGAAUGUAAAUGUUCUAAACAUAACUUAUUGACACAAUGGUGCCAUAAUUAAAAAUAGGCAGAAAUUAUCUAUAAUGACCAAUUUUCUAAAAACAUAAUUCUUUUGAAAUGAUAUGUUUUAAAUUUUUUACUCAGAGAAACAGUAGAACAUUUUAGUUAGUAUUGAAAACUUUGAUAAAAUUAAACCAUAUUAAAAAUGUUAAGAGUAUCUAUUUUAUACACAUACACACACACACGCACACACACACAUACAAGAUUUUGAGGGAUGUUUUCAGUGUUUUUUGCCAAUUUUAGACAAUGUACCAAAUGAUAGAAUUCAUAGUAAUUUCAUAGGAGCUUGACUAUGUCUGUGGUUUGCAAUGAACACAGAUGCAUUUAUUUUGAUAUUAGAUAUUUAAAUGCAUGCAGUUAAUAUAUUUAAAUUUAUGAUUACAUAUUCAAACUGUAUGAAAGCACAAGGUAUGUGAAAAGCUUAUCUUAUACAUUUUUUCAUUCAACAAACACAAUGUCUGAACAGAGAUUCUCAAUCUGAGACUGAGUUAUUAUUGGACAGAUGCUUAUUGUUUUCUCCAUGUAAGACUGAUUUUUCAUAGAAAUAAAAAAAUACUUUCUAAUUUGCCCAACUAUUUUGAUCUUGUCUUACUUUUCAAAAAGCUUCCUAUGAAAUGCCUAGUCUUUUUAAUUUCUUCUUAUUAUUUUUAUUCUUAAUUUUUAUAUUUAUUAUUGUUGUUUUGUUGUAAAAAUUGAGCCAUCUUGAAGAUUAUGAAUGAUUUAAGAAAACAGUUAAAUAUUAGAAUAAAUGAAUGUAUCAUCCAACUGUUGUGUCCCACGAGUCUAAGAAAGAAAAACAAAUCAGGAAAUAAGUUACAUUACUAUUCAAUGAGAAGUAAUACAAAUUUAGAUCCAUUUAAUUUAAAAUACUUUUAUGUAAACAAUAAAGUGAGAGAUGAAAGAGUAAUUUUACAAGCACUGUUGACAAAUGGUGUAAUUAGAAAGAACAUGUGUAUCAAAGAAUGUUCCUUCGCUAGAUCAUUUUGAAUGCAUAAAUGACAUUGAAACCAUGCAUCAAAUAUUGAAAGAAAUAGGAUAUAAUAGCAUGAAGGAAAAAGUGAGACUGUGUAUACAAUAAUUUUCUUUUCUUUCUUUUUUUUACUAUUUAUUUACUUACUUGUUUUGAGGAUUUCAUUUUAAAAGAGAGGAUAGG